RNAcentral lists this ribosomal RNA (468 nucleotides) under uncultured bacterium. RNAcentral's name for it is "partial 16S ribosomal RNA". It matches the Rfam family "Bacterial small subunit ribosomal RNA", at positions 28 to 507 of the family's 1533-position model. The record is from RNAcentral.
GACGAACGCUGGCGGCGUGCUUAACACAUGCAAGUCGAACGGAAAGGCCCUGCUUUUGUGGGGUGCUCGAGUGGCGAACGGGUGAGUAACACGUGAGUAACCUGCCCUUGACUUUGGGAUAACUUCAGGAAACUGGGGCUAAUACCGGAUAGGAGCUCCUGCUGCAUGGUGGGGGUUGGAAAGUUUCGGCGGUGGGGGAUGGACUCGCGGCUUAUCAGCUUGUUGGUGGGGUAGUGGCUUACCAAGGGUUUGACGGGUAGCCGGCCUGGGAGGGUGACCGGCCACAUUGGGACUGAGAUACGGCCCAGACUCCUACGGGAGGCAGCAGUGGGGAAUAUUGCACAAUGGGCGGAAGCCUGAUGCAGCAACGCCGCGUGCGGGAUGACGGCCUUCGGGUUGUAAACCGCUUUCGCCUGUGACGAAGCGUGAGUGACGGUAAUGGGUAAAGAAGCACCGGCUAACUACGUG